This 501-nucleotide ribosomal RNA is filed under the name uncultured bacterium. RNAcentral's name for it is "partial 16S ribosomal RNA". It matches the Rfam family "Bacterial small subunit ribosomal RNA", at positions 29 to 523 of the family's 1533-position model. The record is from RNAcentral.
AUUGAACGCUGGCGGCAUGCCUUACACAUGCAAGUCGAACGGCAGCACGGAUGCUUGCACCUGGUGGCGAGUGGCGAACGGGUGAGUAAUACAUCGGAACGUACCUUAUCGUGGGGGAUAACGCAGCGAAAGCUGUGCUAAUACCGCAUACGCCCUGAGGGGGAAAGCGGGGGAUCGCAAGACCUCGCGCGAUUAGAGCGGCCGAUGCCUGAUUAGCUUGUUGGUGGGGUAAAAGCCCACCAAGGCGACGAUCAGUAGCUGGGCUGAGAGGACGAUCAGCCACACGGGGACUGGGACACGGCCCAGACUCAUACGGGAGGCAGCAGUGGGGAAUUUUGGACAAUGGGGGCAACCCUGAUCCAGCAAUGCCGCGUGAGUGAAGAAGGCCUUCGGGUUGUAAAGCUCUUUUGUCAGGGAAGAAACACCGGCUCUAACACAGUCCGGGAAUGACGGUACCUGAAGAAUAAGCACCGGCUAACUACGUGCCAGCAGCCGCGGUAA